RNAcentral lists this microRNA precursor (67 nucleotides) under Eisenia fetida (common brandling worm). The record is from RNAcentral. Lineage: Eukaryota; Metazoa; Annelida; Clitellata; Crassiclitellata; Lumbricidae.
CGUGUUCACCGGACUUGCCUUGAUGUGGCGAUAUGAUGAAACGAUUAAGGCACGCGGUGAAUGCCAA